GUCCGCAAUGCACCUCCAAGCGGCACCGUUGAAUCCGACUAUGACAAAAUUGCACAAGAGAGGUACAAAGACAUGGAAGCUUCCGGUAAGAAGGCAUUUCAACUAGAGCAUUGUUGGGAACUUCUCAAGGAAAGCGAGAAGUGAAAGUUGAUUCACAAAGAAUCCCCACCAAAGAGACGUGCACUCACCAAGAUUGAUGAUGAUGAAGAUGACGAUGGCCCAAGAAACAAAAACAAGCCCGAUGAAAACAAAAAGGCCAAGGACAAGAUCAAGAAGGAAGCGAAGGCUUCAAGCUUGCAGGACAAGCUAGAUCACAUGGUCAAGUCCAAUGAGCUAUUGACAUUGGAGGCAAAAAAGGAGUUGGCUGAGAAGAAGGCUCAAGAGAAGCAAGAGAAGUGGUAACUACUCAAGGAGGAGACCAUGCGCAAGGCCACCAUUGAGGAGAGAAGAGCCAUAGCAGACGAGAACAAAGCCAUGGCCAAGCUUCUUGCCGAGGAGAACAAGAUUAUGAUGAUGAAUUGAAAUGAGAUGGAUGAGGUCACCAAAGAAUGGCAUGAUAUUGCAAGGUUGGAGAUCUUGGAGAGGAGGAGGAUGGCCGCAAGAGAUGAUGCAGUGCCAAUGUUCGGUGGUGGUUCAGCAAGUGGUGGUGCCAAUGGUGGCGCUGAAGAUUUCAUCUUGUGA
This 681-nucleotide ribosomal RNA is filed under the name Triticum aestivum (bread wheat). RNAcentral describes it as "partial small subunit ribosomal RNA". The record is from RNAcentral. Lineage: Eukaryota; Viridiplantae; Streptophyta; Magnoliopsida; Poales; Poaceae.